UACGUAGGGACCAAGCGUUGUUCGGAUUUACUGGGCGUAAAGGGCGCGUAGGCGGCAAUUCAAGUCAUCUGUGAAAUCUCCGGGCUUAACUCGGAACGGUCAGAUGAUACUGCUUUGCUAGAGUGCGGAAGGGGCAAUCGGAAUUCUUGGUGUAGCGGUGAAAUGCGUAGAUAUCAAGAAGAACACCAAUGGCGAAGGCAGCUCUCUGGGACGGUACUGACGCUGAGACGCGAAAGCGUGGGGAGCGAACAGG
Molecule: ribosomal RNA, 253 nt
Filed under: uncultured bacterium
Lineage: Bacteria
Description: partial 16S ribosomal RNA
Rfam family: Bacterial small subunit ribosomal RNA
Source: RNAcentral